This 7788-nucleotide long non-coding RNA is filed under the name Brassica rapa (field mustard). Lineage: Eukaryota; Viridiplantae; Streptophyta; Magnoliopsida; Brassicales; Brassicaceae. The record is from RNAcentral.
GGAUUCUGAAGGUGUUUUUGAUGCUUUCUUAACGCCGUUAACCUCGAUGCACUUUUUCGCUCGAAACAAAACGGCAAGAAAAUCAUGCGCGCCCCACGGCCUUACACUUGGAUUGGCCGCGAAAAGGAUAUAUAGAAACAAGAGUGAUGUACUGUCGGGUGCGAUCAUACCAGCACUAAUGCACCGGAUCCCAUCAGAACUCCGCAGUUAAGCGUGCUUGGGCGAGAGUAGUACUAGGAUGGGUGACCUCCCGGGAAGUCCUCGUGUUGCACCCCUUUUUUUUUUUAAUUUUUUUUUGCCUAAAACGAGUCUAAACUGAAAACCCAUAACUUUUGAACCGUGAGGAACUACGUCGCCCAUAGCACCAUUUCGGAAGAGCCCCAGAAACCAUAAUGGGCGGUGAAUAGGGGGCGCAAUUUUUCGGGCUCAAAUUCAGCCGUUUUGACCCUCAAACGGGCUGCGGAAAGUUAUGGCACGUAAAAAAGAUCGAAAGCGGAUUCUCAAGGUGUUUUUGAUGCUUUCUUAACGCCGUUAACCUCGAUGCACUUUUUUUCGCUCGAAACAAAACGGCAAGAAAAUCAUGCGCGCCCCACGGCCUUACACUUGGAUUGGCCGCGAAAAGGAUAUAUAGAAACGAGAGUGAUGUACUGACGGGUGCGAUCAUACCAGCACUAAUGCACCGGAUCCCAUCAGAACUCCGCAGUCAAGCGUGCUUGGGCGAGAGUAGUACUAGGAUGGGUGACCUCCCGGGAAGUCCUCGUGUUGCACCCCUUUUUAUUUUUUUAAUUUUUUUUUAGCCUAAAACGAGUCUAAACUUGAAAACCUCAUAACUUUUGAACCGUGAGGAACUACGUCGCCCAUAGCACCAUUUCGGAGAGCCCCAGAAACCAUAAUGGGCGGUGAAUAGGGGGCGCAAUUUUUCGGGCUCAAAUUCAGCCGUUUUGACCCUCAAACGGGCUGCGGAAAGUUAUGGCACGUAAAAAAGAUCGAAAGCGGAUUCUCAAGUGUUUUUGAUGCUUUCUUAACGCCGUUAACCUCGAUGCACUUUUUCGCUCGAAACAAAACGGCAAGAAAAUCAUGCGCGCCCCACGGCCUUACACUUGGAUUGGCGCGAAAAGGAUAUAUAGAAACGAGAGUGAUGUACUGACGGGUGCGAUCAUACCAGCACUAAUGCACCGGAUCCCAUCAGAACUCCGCAGUUAAGCGUGCUUGGGCGAGAGUAGUACUAGGAUGGGUGACCUCCCGGGAAGUCCUCGUGUGUUGCACCCCUUUUUAUUUUUAAUUUUUUUUAGCCUAAAACGAGUCUAAACUUGAAAACCUCAUAACUUUUGAACCGUGAGGAACUACGUCGCCCAUAGCACCAUUUCGGAAAGCCCCAGAAACCAUAAUGGGCGGUGAAUAGGGGGCGCAAUUUUUCGGGCUCAAAUUCAGCCGUUUUGACCCUCAAACGGGCUGCGGAAAGUUAUGGCACGUAAAAAAGAUCGAAAGCGGAUUCUCAAGGUGUUUUUGAUGCUUUCUUAACGCCGUUAACCUCGAUGCACUUUUUCGCUCGAAACAAAACGGCAAGAAAAUCAUGCGCGCCCACGGCCUUACACUUGGAUUGGCCGCGAAAAGGAUAUAUAGAAAGAAACGAGUGAUGUACUGACGGGUGCGAUCAUACCAGCACUAAUGCACCGGAUCCCAUCAGAACUCCGCAGUUAAGCGUGCUUGGGCGAGAGUAGUACUAGGAUGGGUGACCUCCCGGGAAGUCCUCGUGUUGCACCCCUUUUUAUUUUUUAAUUUUUUUUUAGCCUAAACGAGUCUAAACUUGAAAACCUCAUAACUUUUGAACCGUGAGGAACUACGUCGCCCAUAGCACCAUUUCGGAAAGCCCCAGAAACCAUAAUGGGCGGGUGAAUAGGGGGCGCAAUUUUUCGGGCUCAAAUUCAGCCGUUUUGACCCUCAAACGGGCUGCGGAAAGUUAUGGCACGUAAAAAAGAUCGAAAGCGGAUUCUCAAGGUGUUUUGAUGCUUUCUUAACGCCGUUAACCUCGAUGCACUUUUUCGCUCGAAACAAACGGCAAGAAAAUCAUGCGCGCCCCACGGCCUUACACUUGGAUUGGCCGCGAAAAGGAUAUAUAGAAACGAGAGUGAUGUACUGACGGGUGCGAUCAUACCAGCACUAAUGCACCGGAUCCAUCAGAACUCCGCAGUUAAGCGUGCUUGGGCGAGAGUAGUACUAGGAUGGGUGACCUCCCGGGAAGUCCUCGUGUUGCACCCCUUUUUAUUUUUUAAUUUUUUUUUAGCCUAAAACGAGUCUAAACUUGAAAACCCCAUAACUUUUGAACCGUGAGGAACUACGUCGCCCAUAGCACCAUUUCGGAAAGCCCCAGAAACCAUAAUGGGCGGUGAAUAGGGGGCGCAAUUUUUCGGGCUCAAAUUCAGCCGUUUUGACCCUCAAACGGGCUGCGGAAAGUUAUGGCAGAAAAAAAAAGACCGAAAGCGGAUUUUCAAGGUGUUUUUGAUGCUUUCUUAACGCCGUUAACCUCGAUGCACUUUUUCGCUCGAAACAAAACGGCAAGAAAAUCAUGCGCGCCCCACGGCCUUACACUUGGAUUGGCCGCGAAAAGGAUAUAUAGAAACGAGAGUGAUGUACUGUCGGGUGCGAUCAUACCAGCACUAAUGCACCGGAUCCCAUCAGAACUCCGCAGUUAAGCGUGCUUGGGCGAGAGUAGUACUAGGAUGGGUGACCUCCCGGGAAGUCCUCGUGUUGCACCCCUUUUUAUUUUUUAAUUUUUUUAGCCUAAAACGAGUCUAAACUUGAAAACCUCAUAACUUUUGAACCGUGAGGAACUACGUCGCCCAUAGCACCAUUUCGGAAAGCCCCAGAAACCAUAAUGGGCGGUGAAUAGGGGGCGCAAUUUUCGGGCUCAAAUUCAGCCGUUUUGACCCUCAAACGGGCUGCGGAAAGUUAUGGCACGUAAAAAAGAUCGAAAGCGGAUUCUCAAGGUGUUUUUAAUGCUUUCUUAACGCCGUUAACCUCGAUGCACUUUUUCGCUCGAAACAAAACGGCAAGAAAUCAUGCGCGCCCCACGGCCUUACACUUGGAUUGGCCGCGAAAAGGAUAUAUAGAAACGAGAGUGAUGUACUGACGGGUGCGAUCAUACCAGCACUAAUGCACCGGAUCCCAUCAGAACUCCGCAGUUAAGCGUGCUUGGGCGAGAGUAGUAGUACUAGGAUGGGUGACCUCCCGGGAAGUCCUCGUGUUGCACCCCUUUUAUUUUUUAAUUUUUUUUUGCCUAAAACGAGUCUAAACUUGAAAAACCUCAUAACUUUUGAACCGUGAGGAACUACGUCGCCCAUAGCACCAUUUCGGAAAGCCCCAGAAACCAUAAUGGGCGGUGAGGUGAAUAGGGGGCGCAAUUUUUCGGGCUCAAAUUCAGCCGUUUGACCCUCAAACGGGCUGCGGGCGGAAAGUUAUGGCACGUAAAAAAGAUCGAAAGCGGAUUCUCAAGGUGUUUUUGAUGCUUUCUAACGCCGUUAACCUCGAUGCACUUUUUCGCUCGAAACAAAACGGCAAGAAAAUCAUGCGGCCCCACGGCCUUACACUUGGAUUGGCCGCGAAAAGGAUAUAUAGAAACGAGAGUGAUGUACUGACGGGUGCGAUCAUACCAGCACUAAUGCACGGAUCCCAUCAGAACUCCGCAGUUAAGCGUGCUUGGGCGAGAGUAGUACUAGGAUGGGGACCUCCCGGGAAGUCCUCGUGUUGCACCCCUUUUUAUUUUUUAAUUUUUUUUUAGCCUAAAACGAGUCUAAACUUGAAAACCUCAUAACUUUUGAACCGUGAGGAACUACGUCGCCCAUAGCACCAUUUCGGAAAGCCCCAGAAACCAUAAUGGCGGGUGAUGAAGGGGCGCAAUUUUCGGGCUCAAAUUCAGCCGUUUUGACCCUCAAACGGGCUGCGGAAAGUUAUGGCACGUAAAAAAGAUCGAAAGCGGAUUCUCAAGGUGUUUUUGAUGCUUUCUUAACGCCGUUAACCUCGAUGCACUUUUUCGCUCGAAACAAAACGGCAAGAAAAUCAUGCGCGCCCCCACGGCCUUACACUUGGAUUGGCCGCGCGAAAAGGAUAUAUAGAAACGAGAGUGAUGUACUGUCGGGUGCGAUCAUACCAGCACUAAUGCACCGGAUCCCAUCAGAACUCCGCAGUUAAGCGUGCUUGGGCGAGAGUAGUACUAGGAUGGGUGACCUCCCGGGAAGUCCUCGUGUUGCACCCCUUUUUAUUUUUUAAUUUUUUUUAGCCUAAAACGAGUAUAAACUUGAAAACCUGAAACUUUUGAACCGUGAGGAACUACGUCGCCCAUAGCACCAUUUCGGAGAGCCCCAGAAACCAUAAUGGGCGGUGAAUAGGGGGCGCAAUUUUUCGGGCUCAAAUUCAGCCGUUUUGACCCUCAAACGGGCUGCGGAAAGUUAUGGCACGUAAAAAAGAUCGAAAGCGGAUUCUCAAGGUGUUUUUGAUGCUUUCUUAACGCCGUUAACCUCGAUGCACUUUUUCGCUCGAAACAAAACGGCAAAAAAAAUCAUGUGGGCCCCACGGCCUUACACUUGGAUUGGCCGGGGAAAGGAUAUAUAGAAACGAGAGUGAUGUACUGACGGGUGCGAUCAUACCAGCACUAAUGCACCGGAUCCCAUCAGAACUCCGCAGUGAAGCGUGCUUGGGCGAGAGUAGUAUUAGGAUGGGUGACCUCCCGGGAAGUCCUCGUGUUGCACCCCUUUUUAUUUUAUAAUUUUUUUUUAGCCUAAAACGAGUCUAAACUUGAAAACCUCAUAACUUUUGAACCGUGAGGAACUACGUCGCCCAUAGCACCAUUUCGGAAAGCCCCAGAAACCAUAAUGGUGGUGCGGUGAAUAGGGGGCAAUCGCAAUUUUUCGGGCUCAAAUUCAGCCGUUUUGACCCUCAAACGGGCUGCGGAAAGUUAUGGCACGUAAAAAAGAUCGAAAGCGGAUUCUCAAGGUGUUUUUGAUGCUUUCUUAACGCCGUUAACCUCGAUGCACUUUUUCGCUCGAAACAAAACGGCAAGAAAAUCAUGCGCGCCCCCACGGCCUUACACUUGGAUUGGCCGCGAAAAGGAUAUAUAGAAACGAGAGUGAUGUACUGACGGGUGCGAUCAUACCAGCACUAAUGCACCGGAUCCCAUCAGAACUCAGCAGUUAAGCGUGCUUGGGCGAGAGUAGUACUAGGAUGGGUGACCUCCCGGGAAGUCCUGUGUGCACCCCUUUUAUUUUUUAAUUUUUUUUUAGCCUAAAACGAGUCUAAACUUGAAAACCUCAUAACUUUUGAACCGUGAGGAACUACGUCGCCCAUAGCACCAUUUCGGAAAGCCCCAGAAACCAUAAUGGGGUGAAUAGGGGGCGCAAUUUUCGGGCUCAAAUUCAGCCGUUUUGACCCUCAAACGGGCUGCGGAAAGUUAUGGCACGUAAAAAGAUCGAAAGCGGAUUCUCAAGGUGUUUUUGAUGCUUUCUUAACGCCGUUAACCUCGAUGCACUUUUCGCUCGAAACAAAACGGCAAGAAAAAUCAUGCGCGCCCCACGGCCUUACACUUGGAUUGGCCGCGAAAAGGAUAUAUAGAAACGAGAGUGAUGUACUGACGGGUGCGAUCAUACCAGCACUAAUGCACGGAUCCCAUCAGAACUCCGCAGUGAAAGCGUGCUUGGGCGAGAGUAGUACUAGGAUGGGUGACCUCCCGGGAAGUCCUCGUGUUGCACCCCUUUUUAUUUUUAAAUUUUUUUUUAGCCUAAAACGAGUCUAAACUUGAAAACCUCAUAACUUUUGAACCGUGAGGAACUACGUCGCCCAUAGCACCAUUUCCGGAGAGCCCCAGAAACCAUAAUGGGCGGUGAAUAGGGGGCGCAAUUUUUCGGGCUCAAAUUCAGCCGUUUUGACCCUCAAACGGGCUGCGGAAAGUUAUGGCACGUAAAAAAGAUCGAAAGCGGAUUCUCAAGGUGUUUUGAUGCUUUCUUAACGCCGUUAACCUCGAUGCACUUUUUCGCUUCGAAACAAAACGGCAAGAAAAUCAUGCGCGCCCCACGGCCUUACACUUGGAUUGGCCGCGAAAAGGAUAUAUAGAAACGAGAGUGAUGUACUGACGGGUGCGAUCAUAUACCAGCACUAAUGCACCGGAUCCCAUCAGAACUCCGCAGUUAAGCGUGCUUGGGCGAGAGUAGUACUAGGAUGGGUGACCUCCCGGGAAGUCCUCGUGUUGCACCCCUUUUAUUUUUUAAUUUUUUUUUGCCUAAAACGAGUCUAAACUUGAAAACCUCAUAACUUUUGAACCGUGAGGAACUACGUCGCCCAUAGCACCAUUUCGGAGAAGCCCCAGAAACCAUAAUGGGCGGUGAAUAGGGGGCGCAAUUUUUCGGGCUCAAUUCAGCCGUUUUGACCCUCAAACGGGCUGCGGAAAGUUAUGGCACGUAAAAAAAGAUCGAAAGCGGAUUCUCAAGGUGUUUUUGAUGCUUUCUUAACGCCGUAACCUCGAUGCACUUUUUCGCUCGAACAAAACGGCAAGAAAAUCAUGCGCGCCCCACGGCCUUACACUUGGAUUGGCCGCGAAAAGGAUAUAUAGAAACGAGAGUGAUGUACUGACGGGUGCGAUCAUACCAGCACUAAUGUACCGGAUCCCAUCAGAACUCCGCAGUUAAGCGCGCUUGGGCGAGAGUAGUAUUAGGAUGGGUGACCUCCCGGGAAGUCUUCGUGUUGCACCCCUUUUUAUUUUAUAAUUUUUUUAGCCUAAAACGAGUCUAAACUUGAAAACCUCAUAAAUUUUGAACCGUGAGGAACUACGUCGCCCAUAGCACCAUUUCGGAAAGUCCCAGAAACCAUAAUGGGCGGUGAAUAGGGGGCGCAAUUUUUCGGGCUGAAAUUCAGCCGUUUUGACCCUCAAACGGGCUGCGGAAAGUUAUGGCACGUAAAAAGAUCGAAAGCGGAUUCUCAAUGGUUUUUGAUGCUUUCUUAACGCCGUUAACCUCGAUGCACUUUUUCGCUCGAAACAAAACGGCAAGAAAAUCAUGCGCCCCCACGGCCUUACACUUGGAUUGGCCGCGAAAAGGAUAUAUAGAAACGAGAGUGAUGUACUGACGGGUGCGAUCAUACCAGCACUAAUGCACCGGAUCCCAUCAGAACUCCGCAGUUAAGCGUGCUUGGGCGAGAGUAGUACUAGGAUGGGUGACCUCCCGGGAAGUCCUCGUGUUGCACCCCUUUUUAUUUUUUAAUUUUUUUUUGCCUAAAACGAGUCUAAAACUUGAAAACCUCAUAACUUUUGAACCGUGAGGAACUACGUCGCCCAUAAGCACCAUUUCGGAAAGCCCCAGAAACCAUAAUGGCGGGAAUGCGGUGAAUAGGGGGCGCAAUUUUUCGGGCUCAAAUUCAGCCGUUUUGACCCUCAGACGGGCUGCGGAAAGUUAUGGCACGUAAAAAAGAUCGAAAGCGGAUUCUCAAGGUGUUUUUGAUGCUUUCUUAACGCCGUUAACCUCGAUGCACUUUUUUGCUCGAAACAAAACGGCAAGAAAAUCAUGCGCGCCCCACGGCCUUACACUUGGAUUGGCUGCGAAAAGGAUAUAUAGAAACGAGAGUGAUGUACUGUCGGCUGCGAUCAUACCAGCACUAAUGCACCGGAUCCCAUCAGAACUCCGCAGUGAAGCGUGCUUGGGCGAGAGUAGUACUAGGAUGGGUGACCUCCCGGGAAGUCCUCGUGUUGCACCCCUUUUUAUUUUUUAAUUUUUUUUUAGCCUAAAACGAGUCUAAACUUGAAAACCC